Molecule: ribosomal RNA, 842 nt
Filed under: uncultured Chloroflexota bacterium
Lineage: Bacteria; Bacillati; Chloroflexota
Description: bacterial SSU rRNA
Rfam family: Bacterial small subunit ribosomal RNA
Source: RNAcentral
ACCACGGGAAACUGUGGCUAAUAGCGCAUGGUCUUGCGGAUGCGGGAGCAUCGGCAAGUAAAGUUCAGGCGCUUCAAGAGGGGCCUGCGCCCGAUUAGCUAGUUGGUGAGGUAAUGGCUCACCAAGGCUCGGAUCGGUAGCUGGUCUGAGAGGACGAUCAGCCACACGGGAACUGAGACACGGUCCCGACUCCUACGGGGGGCAGCAGUGAGGAAUAUUGGGCAAUGGACGCAAGUCUGACCCAGCAACGCCGCGUGGAGGACGAUGGCUUUCGGGUUGUAAACUCCUUUUUUGGGGGACAAGGAAGGAUGGUACCCCAAGAAUAAGUCACGGCUAACUACGUGCCAGCAGCCGCGGUAAUACGUAGGUGACGAGCGUUAUCCGGAAUUAUUGGGCGUAAAGCGCACGCAAGCGGUCGGACAAGUCUGACGUGAAAUCUCUUGGCUUAACUGGGAGCGGUCGUUGGAAACUGUUCGGCUUGAGGCGAUGAGAGGGAUGCAGAAUUCCUGGUGUAGUGGUGGAAUGCGUAGAUAUCAGGAGGAAUACCUGUGGCGAAAGCGGCAUCCUGGCGUCGUUCUGACGCUCAUGUGCGAAAGCGUGGGGAGCGAACGGGAUUAGAUACCCCGGUAGUCCACGCUGUAAACGAUGAACACUAGGUGUAGGGGGUGUCAAAACCUUCUGUGCCAAAGCCAACGCGUUAAGUGUUCCGCCUGGGAAGUACGGCCGCAAGGCUAAAACUCAAAGGAAUUGACGGGGACCCGCACAAGCAGCGGAGCGUGUGGUUUAAUUCGAUGCGACACGAAGAACCUUACCUGGGUUUGACAUGCUGGUAGUAGUGAAGC